UGAAAUCCCAGAGCUUAACUCUGGAACUGCCAUUAAAACUUUUCAGCUAGAGUAUGAUAGAGGAAAGCAGAAUUUCUAGUGUAGAGGUGAAAUUCGUAGAUAUUAGAAAGAAUACCAAUUGCGAAGGCAGCUUUCUGGAUCAUUACUGACACUGAGGAACGAAAGCAUGGGUAGCGAAGAGGAUUAGAUACCCUCGUAGUCCAUGCCGUAAACGAUGUGUGUUAGACGUUGGAAAUUUAUUUUCAGUGUCGCAGGGAAACCGAUAAACACACCGCCUGGGGAGUACGACCGCAAGGUUAAAACUCAAAUGAAUUGACGGGGACCCGCACAAGUAGUGGAGCAUGUGGUUUAAUUCGAAGAUACGCGCAGAACCUUACCAACACUUGACAUGUUCGUCGCGACUCUAAGAGAUUAGAGUUUUCGGUUCGGCCGGACGAAACACAGGUGCUGCAUGGCUGUCGUCAGCUCGUGUCGUGAGAUGUUGGGUUAAGUCCCGCAACGAGCGCAACCCUCACUUUUAGUUGCCAUCAUUAAGUUGGGCACUCUGAAAGAACUGCCAGUGAUAAGCUGGAGGAAGGUGGGGAUGACGUCAAGUCCUCAUGGCCCUUACGUGUUGGGCUACACACGUGCUACAAUGGUAUCUACAACAGGAAGCGAAACUGCGAGGUUAAGCAAAUCCCUAAAAGAUACCUCAGUUCGGAUUGCACUCUGCAACUCGAGUGCAUGAAGCUGGAAUUACUAGUAAUCGUGGAUCAGCGUGCCACGGUGAAUGCGUUCCCGGGUCUUGUACACACCGCCCGUCACACCAUGGGAGUUGGUUCUACCUUAAGGCAAGGUUUUAAACCCUUGACCACGGUAUAGUCAGCGACUGGGGUGAA
RNAcentral lists this ribosomal RNA (878 nucleotides) under marine metagenome. RNAcentral's name for it is "bacterial SSU rRNA". It matches the Rfam family "Bacterial small subunit ribosomal RNA", at positions 595 to 1484 of the family's 1533-position model. The record is from RNAcentral.